AAAGUCGUAACAAGGUUUCCGUAGGUGAACCUGCGGAAGGAUCAUUACCAUUACCUCAACCGGUAGGCGUCUGGUUUACCAGUCGUCCACCUGUUUGAAGUUACCCAUGCCUUUUGCGUACAGUUUGUUUUCCCAGCAGGGCGUUUCGCCCCAACGGGACUCCAAUCCACCCAUGUAUUUGCAGUCAACGUCUGAAAACAAUAAUAAUUACAACUUUUAACAACGGAUCUCUUGGUUCUG
Molecule: unclassified non-coding RNA, 240 nt
Filed under: Ascomycota sp.
Lineage: Eukaryota; Fungi; Ascomycota
Description: partial contains small subunit ribosomal RNA, internal transcribed spacer 1, and 5.8S ribosomal RNA
Rfam family: Eukaryotic small subunit ribosomal RNA (bases 1-47)
Source: RNAcentral